CCGGUAUCAACUUCCCGGUAAUGAUUCCUUUUGGCAAUUAAUGAGGAAAUUAUUUGAUAAUCUAAAGUGUACAUACAAGGCGAUAAUGAGAAACCCAAAUUGCUCUCGUGCCCUCGUAAUUUUUGCCACCGACACCUUGACUUGCUAUCAAAUAUAUGUGUAAAGUUACAUCUUACAUGUCGUUUCAGCCAUGUGUCUGACUACUUCUAUCAGCCAAAACAUAUUAGAAUCUCAGGCAUAAGUGGUAUU
Molecule: long non-coding RNA, 249 nt
Filed under: Capsella rubella
Lineage: Eukaryota; Viridiplantae; Streptophyta; Magnoliopsida; Brassicales; Brassicaceae
Description: long non-coding RNA (CRUB_LNC002878)
Source: RNAcentral